GGUCCCGUGGUGUAGUGGUUAUCACGCCUGCUUCACACGCAGGAGGACGCCGGUUCGAUCCCGGC
Molecule: non-coding RNA, 65 nt
Organism: Anisakis simplex (herring worm)
Lineage: Eukaryota; Metazoa; Nematoda; Chromadorea; Rhabditida; Anisakidae
Source: Rfam